This 16-nucleotide small RNA is filed under the name Arabidopsis thaliana (thale cress). Its description in RNAcentral is "ATSL222630". Lineage: Eukaryota; Viridiplantae; Streptophyta; Magnoliopsida; Brassicales; Brassicaceae. The record is from RNAcentral.
UUUUUUUUAAUCCAAA